GUUUAAUUAAGAGAAGCGUGGUAGGAAGGACAUCUGAAGGAAGGUUGGGUUGCACUUGCGCUGCCCUACCUGAAAUCCCAGACUGGUUGCAGCCUGAGCACUGUGCUUCUGCACUGCUGGGAAGGGACGGGUAGACAACGCAGCCACAGCACCUUGGAAAUGAGGUUUCAAGAAGCCAGGCGCACACACACGAGUGAGCAGCUGCAACAGAGCCUGCACAGACUCCAGCCGCCCUGCACCAGCAUCCUGCCUCGAUUCUCCUUCACAGCUUUCUUGCUCCCUGAGUAUCCCAUUGGCAUGAGGCAUAGAAGGGAAAGAAAUGUGCACUCACACUGUUGUAACCCCUCGCUGACCCCCAUCAGAAGGAAAGGCCGAACACAGAAGCCAGCCUCUGGUCUGAAGAGACAAAUGCAGACACCCUCUCCUGGAAGAUACCGUGCUAAAAUAUUCCCUUUCCCUAUUGCAUCUCCAUUAAACUUUGCUGAAGGUGAUGCUGAGAUAAGUUGGGCCCAGAAAAAUCAAUGGGUGCAAAUUCAUAAGAAAUAAACACAAUGUAAAA
This 559-nucleotide long non-coding RNA is filed under the name Gallus gallus (chicken). RNAcentral describes it as "lncRNA (ENSGALG00010029799.1)". The record is from RNAcentral. Lineage: Eukaryota; Metazoa; Chordata; Aves; Galliformes; Phasianidae.